CAGAGGGAUAGCCCAGAGAAAUUUGGAUUAAUACCUCAUAGUAUAGCAGUUUCGCAUGAAACCACUAUUAAAGCCACAACGGUAAAAGAUGAGCAUGCGUCCCAUUAGCUAGUUGGUAAGGUAACGGCUUACCAAGGCUACGAUGGGUAGGGGUCCUGAGAGGGAGAUCCCCCACACUGGUACUGAGACACGGACCAGACUCCUACGGGAGGCAGCAGUGAGGAAUAUUGGACAAUGGGCGCAAGCCUGAUCCAGCCAUGCCGCGUGCAGGAUGACGGUCCUAUGGAUUGUAAACUGCUUUUGUACGAGAAGAAACACUCCUAUGUAUAGGAGCUUGACGGUAUCGUAAGAAUAAGGAUCGGCUAACUCCGUGCCAGCAGCCGCGGUAAUACGGAGGAUCCAAGCGUUAUCCGGAAUCAUUGGGUUUAAAGGGUCCGUAGGCGGUUUAGUAAGUCAGUGGUGAAAGCCCAUCGCUCAACGGUGGAACGGCCAUUGAUACUGCUGAACUUGAAUUAUUAGGAAGUAACUAGAAUAUGUAGUGUAGCGGUGAAUGCUUAGAGAUUACAUGGAAUACCAAUUGCGAAGGCAGGUUACUACUAAUUGAUUGACGCUGA
RNAcentral lists this ribosomal RNA (614 nucleotides) under uncultured Flavobacteriales bacterium. RNAcentral's name for it is "bacterial SSU rRNA". It matches the Rfam family "Bacterial small subunit ribosomal RNA", at positions 136 to 749 of the family's 1533-position model. Lineage: Bacteria; Pseudomonadati; Bacteroidota; Flavobacteriia; Flavobacteriales. The record is from RNAcentral.